RNAcentral lists this ribosomal RNA (253 nucleotides) under uncultured bacterium. RNAcentral describes it as "partial 16S ribosomal RNA". It matches the Rfam family "Bacterial small subunit ribosomal RNA", at positions 524 to 776 of the family's 1533-position model. The record is from RNAcentral.
UACGAGGGGUGCAAACGUUAUUCGGAAUCACUGGGCGUAAAGGGUGCGUAGACGGCAAGAUAAGUCAAUUAUUAAAUCUCCUAGCUUAACUAGGAAUCUGUGGUUGAAACUGACUUGCUUGAGGAUGGAAGAGAGAAGUGGAAUUCUCGGAGUAGCGGUAAAAUGCGUAGAUCUCGAGAGGAACACCGAUGGCGAAGGCAGCUUCUUGGUCCAUUUCUGACGUUGAGGCACGAAAGCGUGGGGAGCAAACAGG